AAGGAUAUGCUGGACAAAGGAAUGAUUCACGUCCCUACAUGAGACAGAGCAGGAUGGCCUGAGAUUUCAUCAUACUACUCAGAAUAGCACACAAUUUUAAACUCAUGAAUUUUUCUUUCUAGAAUUUUCUAUGUAAUAUUUUUGUACUGCAGUUCACUGUGGGUAACUGAGACUGGAAAAAGUGAAACCACAGGGACACAACAAGAAGGUCCUCAUCACACCAAAUACUGGCACCUUGGUCUUGGACUUCCAGCCUCCAGAACUGUUAUAGUGCCCUUGGCACAGAUAUCAGCACCACGGACAGCAGACGCUGAUGGUGUACUAGGGUACCUCUCUUACAAGACUUCGCAAGUCAGUGGCAGGUUCAACACCGGACACUCCGAAUGGGGUAUGAAGAAGUGUUGAGAAAGAAUGAGGGGGCACCAAGCAGAAGUGGAGAAGAUGGUUUUUUUGCCUGCUCAUUUAAGAGAAACCUCAAAAGGGCACACAGAAAAAUUUGAAGAUAGAGAAGGAGAGCUUUUAGAGAAUGGAGGCUCUAAAAAAUGGUGGGGCUGCAUCUGGAGAGGCCAACAGAAAGACUAGCCUGGAAACAAGGUUAGCAGCUGACACUUCCAUCCGCAGAAACGUUAGACGAAAUUGCUGGAGCUUUGGAGAAGUCCCCUCUUCCAGAUCAGUCUCUGUGUCA
Gorilla gorilla gorilla (western lowland gorilla) is the source of this 685-nucleotide long non-coding RNA. RefSeq lists it as uncharacterized. Lineage: Eukaryota; Metazoa; Chordata; Mammalia; Primates; Hominidae. The transcript has 5 exons. The record is from RefSeq and is a predicted model, not a curated record.